CCCCAACUCCCCAAUUCACGUUUCUCACGUCUCACCUUAUUGCACGCACACACAUCUAUAUAUAUAAUACACACAUUCACAUAUAAAGGGGGAGGGACCAUUUUUGAGAAGCAAAAUCUCUAUCUUUAUUUUUGGCUCAAACUUAAUCUUAAAUACACUCAUUAUUCACGGCAAAAGCAGAAUGGAACAUAAAGAGGGACGAAAACUAAGAGAAAAGAGGAGAGCUGUGUUCGUCUAGUUUUGUCGCCGUCGUUGGAGUCUCGGUCGUGGUUCUGUAUUCGAUUCAUUGGUCACCGGCUCUAUGUCGGUGCUUUUCUCUGUUGCUGUACCGUUUUCUUGGAAAUAAUUUCAUCAGAAGGUCAAUUUGUUUUUAUUGUUGUUAUAUUAGUUAAUUUCAUGUUCUACUCUCGUCUUGUUGAAUGUUUUAUGACUGUGAUAUCAUUCUAUUACUUAGAUCCCCCAUCUGACUUAUUUUGUUUCACUGUUGUUGAAACAUGGAGAUUUUGUAUAUAUUUUUCUUUUGUAAUUAAAAACUCAUAGUUAUAAAUUUUGUGGAUGAUUAUAUAAAGUUAGAAGAGUUUGUUAAUGUUGAAACAUAUCCCUAUUCGUUACUUGACGUGAUUUAUUCACAAGCCUGACACAGUUAUCGAAAUUAGUUCAUUUACUUGUUACGAUAAGAAGUGAAACUUUAGUUUUAAUGUGCAAAUGGCAAUUGUAUUAUAUAAAUGGUUGUUUUAUGAUUUGAAACUUUAGUUUUAAUGUGCAAAUGGAAAUUGCAUUAUAUAAAUGGUUGUUUUAUGAUUUCAAAUAGCUGCAUCAUACACUUCUUCCACAAAUUUUUCCCCAAGCUCUUUGUAUUGGGUAAAUUUGGUCCCCUAGAUUCCUAUGAUAUCUACGUACGUACUCAGUAAAGAGAGCGGCCUAAUUAUGGUCGACUUGAGUAAGGCCGAUCAUAGUUAGCAGAUGGACCUAGUGACGUGAUUCACUGCGACAUCGUUUCGAGCUCUGACACUCGUACACUGAGGCCACUAACCCUUGUAUUUUUCUUUGAUUAUUUCGAGGAAGGUCCCUUGGUAUAUAAAUGGGACCUUCCAUUUG
This 1098-nucleotide long non-coding RNA is filed under the name Nicotiana benthamiana. Its description in RNAcentral is "long non-coding RNA (NBEN_LNC017727)". The record is from RNAcentral. Lineage: Eukaryota; Viridiplantae; Streptophyta; Magnoliopsida; Solanales; Solanaceae.